Molecule: ribosomal RNA, 621 nt
Filed under: Triticum aestivum (bread wheat)
Lineage: Eukaryota; Viridiplantae; Streptophyta; Magnoliopsida; Poales; Poaceae
Description: partial small subunit ribosomal RNA
Source: RNAcentral
AUGCGCUGCUCCUCAUUCUUGAAUCAAGCCCUCUCAAUUUCUCAUCUCGCCCUGUCUCCUAACUCUAUUUAUCAGCCACGCCGACCGGAAUCCCCUACAAGCACCGGCGGGCCGGCGCCACCGCACCCAAAACUCCCUGCCACACUGCAACCUGAGUUGGUGGAAGUUGGAACUUCCAUCUUGUCGAGCUGCAACCGGGCAACAAAAGAGUUGCAACAGGGCGAGCGGUUUGCGAGUCGUGUCGAGGAUGCUGGAACCGUCGACGUGAGGUGCUACCACAUGCGUUUGGUUUUGCUGGAGCCAAUAUUCUUUUUUGCUACCAUGGGUGUUUGGUUUUGCUGGAACCACCGCCAAAUUUGCAAGUUUGCUACCACUAACUUUCUGGUUUGCUGGAACGAGCUUGAUUUUUUGCUACAUCCGUGUUUUUCUACUUUUGCUGGGGCACAGUUUCCAGUUUUUAUUUCACAAGUUUUGCUACCACUGUCUUCUUGUUUUGCUGGAUCCAAUGCAUUUUUUUGCUACAAUCAGGUGGGUGGGAGCUGCAUCGUCAGCUCCUGGCUGGAACCAGCAACGCGAAUAGCUGCUACUGGAGAUUUUUGCUUCAAAGGCGAUGGGACCUAG